GAUGAACGCUGGCGGCGUGCUUAACACAUGCAAGUCGAACGAGGUCCAUGGAGCUUGCUCCGGAAGACCUAGUGGCGAACGGGUGCGUAACACGUGAGAAACCUGCCCCGGACUUUGGGAUAACAGUUGGAAACGACUGCUAAUACCGAAUGCCGUCGUUGAGUCGCAUGGCUCGACGACGAAAGGUCCGCCGGUCCGGGAGGGUCUCACGGCCUAUCAGCUUGUUGGAGAGGUAACGGCUCACCAAGGCAUCGACGGGUAGCUGGUCUGAGAGGAUGAUCAGCCACACUGGGACUGAGACACGGCCCAGACUCCUACGGGAGGCAGCAGUGGGGAAUCUUGCACAAUGGGCGCAAGCCUGAUGCAGCAACGCCGCGUGCGGGAAGAAGGCCCUAGGGUUGUAAACCGCUUUCAGGAGGGAAGAAAAUGACGGUACCUCCAGAAGAAGGUGCGGCCAACUACGUGCCAGCCGCCGCCGUAACAC
This 484-nucleotide ribosomal RNA is filed under the name uncultured bacterium. Its description in RNAcentral is "bacterial SSU rRNA". It matches the Rfam family "Bacterial small subunit ribosomal RNA", at positions 28 to 526 of the family's 1533-position model. The record is from RNAcentral.